Molecule: non-coding RNA, 102 nt
Organism: Amanita rubescens
Lineage: Eukaryota; Fungi; Basidiomycota; Agaricomycetes; Agaricales; Amanitaceae
Source: the annotation of a GenBank genome assembly
GGGCGUUUAGCGCAGUGGUAGCGCGUAUGCUUUGCAGGCCCUGCAGUAAAAGCGCAGAUCCUUACUUGUAUAAGGUCCAGGGUUCAAUCCCCUGAACGUCCA